UUGAUUAGGUAAAUUAUGAUGAGAAACAUUGAAUGGAAGUUUUUGAGAAUGUGAAGAAAUAGUUCAUCUUCAACUCCCACCGCUUCUGAUUCUGCUUCUGAGUUCUGCGUACACAAAUACAACGUUGCAUUCGAAACUACAAAAAAGUUUGUUCGCGAUUUGGCAAUAUUAGGCGCGGCGAGAAUAUGAGUCCACCCGACGAAAAUCAACUACAGAAUGAUCCGAAACAUUUCUCAAUAAGACAGUACACACUUUCUUGUCGUCACAAGAACUUAUUUCAUUGCUGGCCAUUUCCAGUCAAGUAUCUGCUUCUAUGUCUGCACCAUGGUGUUAGCAAUAUUUUGCCACCACUCGAUCCCCCUCCCCGUGUCGUUCAGUCAUCCGAACAUAUCCGCUCGAUCAAUUGUACGAAGAAAGACAACAAAGGUAAUCCCAUUGCUGUAAAUGAUGAAGGGCCAGACAUCACAGAGGAUUCAGCUGGCAAAAGAUCAUAUAAUUCAUCAGGAAUUAUGUCCCCUGAUGUUUCUUAUAAUAUGCCAUGUCCUAAACGACAAGCUUCGGCUCCUACAACUCUGCAUUCAUGUCUAGAUAUCGAUAAACGGCAAAUUCGGUCAUCAUAUUGCUCGAGAAUGUUGAAGAAAAAUGACAGAAGUCGAAAAGGGAAGCGAAAGAAACGGUGGAUGGUGGAUAUUUUGGCUGUGGCAAAGCCUUGUAGUAUUCAGGAUCUCUAUACAAUGAAACAGAGAGAGUGAAAAUGGGUGCAACUCUGAACUUGCAGAAGAAUUCUCAAACCAAAAGCUUGAGACUAAUUCAUGGUUUUGAAGAAGGCUAAUCCGAAAAUUUGAAAGGUCGAAUUCAUAGGUUGCAGAUCCAAUUCCUAAAUCUCAAGUCAAAUUUGUCGGAGAGCUGCAAGAUAGAUGAAUUAGAUUAUUGAAGUUCAAGGAAGAGCCUUCUACAGUUAACAGCGGCAUUUCGGUUGGUAUUUAUUUUAAGCAAAGGGUAGCAUGUCGUUUCCUCUUUCAUUACUAUUACUUGAUUUAGCCUGCUGGACCAUAGAUAAGAUCGACAUGGGGCGAGAAAAGGAAAGACUUCCCUUGACUUGACACAUGAUAGCAUACUUCUGCCUCUUUCGUCAACUACUCGACUCAGCUUAUCCCAAGAUCCUAAUUAAUAUAUAGCUUGCCAUUCUUUGCAUUCAUGAGCCGCACGUAUUUAUUUAUUAUUUUGACUAGCCCAAGAUCAAUAAUAUUUUGUAAACACCUCCUUAAAUACCAGUUGCAUGUGGUCAUUUCUUCAUCUUC
This is a non-coding RNA of Momordica charantia (bitter melon), 1301 nucleotides long. The record is from RefSeq and is a predicted model, not a curated record. NCBI's taxonomy places the organism in Eukaryota, Viridiplantae, Streptophyta, Magnoliopsida, Cucurbitales, Cucurbitaceae.